This 376-nucleotide ribosomal RNA is filed under the name uncultured organism. RNAcentral's name for it is "partial 16S ribosomal RNA". It matches the Rfam family "Bacterial small subunit ribosomal RNA", at positions 526 to 896 of the family's 1533-position model. The record is from RNAcentral.
GGAGGGGGGCGAGCGUUAUUCGGAAUUAUUGGGCGUAAAGGGCAGGUAGGCGGCUUCGUGUGUCCUCUGUGAAAGACCCCCGGGCUCAACCGGGGAAUUGCAGGGGAAACUGCGGAGCUUGAGUCCCGGGAGAGGGUAGUGGAAUUCCCAGUGUAGCGGUGAAAUGCGUAGAUAUUGGGAGGAACACCAGUGGCGAAGGCGACUACCUGGACCGGUACUGACGCUGAGCUGCGAAAGCCAGGGGAGCGAACGGGAUUAGAUACCCCGGUAGUCCUGGCUGUAAACGAUGAGCACUUGGUGUGGCGGGUAUCGACCCCUGCUGUGCCGAAGCUAACGCAUUAAGUGCUACGCCUGGGGAGUACGGUCGCAAAGGCUG